CAGGAUGUGACCUGCCAACUGGAAAAGGUUACAUCCUCCAUCAGGAUCUCCCAUCACCUGUGUGGAAUUCUCUUGGCAACAAUACAGACAUGCCUCGUGACAAAGAUGCUCCGCAGAGAUUACAGGGGUCCUGGAAGGCGGUGCUUCUGGUGGCUGAGAAAGGAAGAUGGUGAACUCUUGUUGAGAAAUGACUAAAUUUAGUCAC
Non-coding RNA from Myodes glareolus (Bank vole), 205 nucleotides. Lineage: Eukaryota; Metazoa; Chordata; Mammalia; Rodentia; Cricetidae. The record is from RefSeq and is a predicted model, not a curated record.